Molecule: ribosomal RNA, 496 nt
Filed under: uncultured bacterium
Lineage: Bacteria
Description: partial 16S ribosomal RNA
Rfam family: Bacterial small subunit ribosomal RNA
Source: RNAcentral
AUGAACGCUGGCGGCGUGCCUAAUACAUGCAAGUCGCGCGAACAGACGAGGAGCUUGCUCCUCUGACGUUAGCGGCGGACGGGUGAGUAACACGUGGAUAACCUACCUAUAAGACUGGGAUAACUUCGGGAAACCGGAGCUAAUACCGGAUAAUAUAUUGAACCGCAUGGUUCAAUAGUGAAAGACGGUUUUGCUGUCACUUAUAGAUGGAUCCGCGCCGCAUUAGCUAGUUGGUAAGGUAACGGCUUACCAAGGCGACGAUGCGUAGCCGACCUGAGAGGGGGAUCGCCCACACGGGACUGGAGACCCGGCCCGGCCUCCGACGGGGGGCAGAAGUGGGAAAUCUCCCGCAAUGGGAGAAGGCCUGACGGAGCAGCGCCGGGUGAGUGAUAAAGGUCUUCGGAUCAAAAAACUUUUUUAUGAGGGAAAAAAAAAUGUUAAAGUAACUAUGCCCGUUUGGACGGUACCUAAUAAAAAAGCCACGGCUAACUACGUG